This 75-nucleotide small RNA is filed under the name Paenibacillus sp. P22. RNAcentral's name for it is "ctRNA". The record is from RNAcentral. Lineage: Bacteria; Bacillati; Bacillota; Bacilli; Caryophanales; Paenibacillaceae.
UAAAGCGCCGGAGUCAUCAUGCGGCGCGCUGAAACCGCAAGGAGUAAUCUUUUACUCUUUGCGGUUUUUUUUAUU